This is a non-coding RNA of Potamilus streckersoni, 66 nucleotides long. The record is from the annotation of a GenBank genome assembly. Lineage: Eukaryota; Metazoa; Mollusca; Bivalvia; Unionida; Unionidae.
GUGGCCUAUUGGUUAGAGCGUCCGCCUCGAGUGCGGAUGUCGCGUGUUCGAACCACGGCCGAUUCA